This 498-nucleotide ribosomal RNA is filed under the name Sporobolomyces pararoseus. RNAcentral's name for it is "Sporidiobolus pararoseus partial 26S ribosomal RNA". Lineage: Eukaryota; Fungi; Basidiomycota; Microbotryomycetes; Sporidiobolales; Sporidiobolaceae. The record is from RNAcentral.
GCACGCUGCGUUCCUCAGUCCCCCAGGGCGAAUCCAAUAAAGAGCUAUAACACAGCCGAAACUGCUACCUUCUCUCUAUGCUUUUCCGCCCCGAAAAACUGAUGCGGGCCUGCCAAUCGAGUUGCCCCGAAUAGCAAGUAUCACUGCAUGUGUUUCCCUUCCAACAAUUUCACGUACUGUUAACUCUCUUUCCAAAGUGCUUUUCAUCUUUCCCUCACGGUACUUGUUCGCUAUCGGUCUCUCGCCAAUAUUUAGCUUUAGAUGGAAUUUACCACCCAAUUUGAGCUGCAUUCCCAAACAACUCGACUCUUCGAAAGUGUAUCACAAAGUAAUAGGCAUCCGCAUCGUGUACUGGGUUCUCACCACUAUGACGCUCUGUUCCAAGAGACUUGUAUGCGGUCUAUCACGGAAAACACUUCUCGAGAUUACAACUCGGACGUCGAAGACGCCAGAUUACAAAUUUGAGCUUUUCCCGCUUCGCUCGCCGCUACUAGGGGA